UGCGUGGGCCCUGACUCCAUUUACAAGUGUGCUGAGGCUGGCGCUAACAUGAUCGUUUCGGGCAGCGCCGUGAUUGGCAGCGACGACCCUCGCUCCGUCAUCGCCCUCCUACGUACCGUCGUGGUAGAGGCUAUCCAAAAACGCUCGCUGGACCGUUGAGAUGACCUUUUGAUGACCUUUGGUGGAUGUGGCAGGUGAGCCCGGACCGGAAGGACCGUCACAAUUUUGUGAAAGAAUCCGGACUGUUAAACAUUCCUGAACAGUUUUAUUCCUACUUGGAAGGGAAUUGAUCCAAAAAGCUUUUUCUAUAUACUGUGUAUAUACACACUUUUCUGGCAAACAUCUGUGGGAGUUGAUUUUGUUUAUUAAAAAGCCUUCAGUCAUU
Molecule: long non-coding RNA, 385 nt
Organism: Hippocampus comes (tiger tail seahorse)
Lineage: Eukaryota; Metazoa; Chordata; Actinopteri; Syngnathiformes; Syngnathidae
Exons: 2
Source: RefSeq, a predicted model, not a curated record